CAGUAGCCGCGGUAAUACGUAGGUGGCAAGCGUUGUCCGGAAUUAUUGGGCGUAGAGGGCUCGCAGGCGGUUUCUUAAGUCUGAUGUGAAAGCCCCCGGCUCAACCGGGGAGGGUCAUUGAAACUGGGAAACUCGAGUGCAGAAGAGGAGAGUGGAAUUCCACGUGUAGCGGUGAAAUGCGUAGAGAUGUGGAGGAACACCAGUGGCGAAGGCGACUCUCUGGUCUGUAACUGACGCUGAGGAGCGAAAGCGUGGGGAGCGAACAGGAUUAGAGACCCCAGUAGUCCCUGUCUCUUAUACA
Molecule: ribosomal RNA, 301 nt
Filed under: uncultured bacterium
Lineage: Bacteria
Description: partial 16S ribosomal RNA
Rfam family: Bacterial small subunit ribosomal RNA
Source: RNAcentral